RNAcentral lists this transfer RNA (30 nucleotides) under Stauntonia coriacea. RNAcentral's name for it is "Holboellia coriacea partial tRNA-His". Lineage: Eukaryota; Viridiplantae; Streptophyta; Magnoliopsida; Ranunculales; Lardizabalaceae. The record is from RNAcentral.
GGCGGAUGUAGCCAAGUGGUUCAAGGCAGU